Molecule: ribosomal RNA, 911 nt
Filed under: uncultured bacterium
Lineage: Bacteria
Description: bacterial SSU rRNA
Rfam family: Bacterial small subunit ribosomal RNA
Source: RNAcentral
AGAGUUUGAUCCUGGCUCAGAAUCAACGCUGGCGGCGUGCCUAACACAUGCAAGUCGAACGAGAAAGUGGAGCUUGCUUCAUGAGUAAAGUGGCAAACGGGUGAGUAACACGUGAACAACCUACCCUUGAGUGGGGAAUAACACCGCGAAAGUGGUGCUAAUACCGCAUAACAUCUUUAGAUCGCAUGUUCUGAAGAUUAAAAGCGCAAGUUGCUUGAGGAGGGGUUCGCGCCUGAUUAGCUAGUUGGUGAGGUAACGGCUCACCAAGGCAACGAUCAGUAGCCGGCCUGAGAGGGCGAACGGCCACACUGGAACUGAGACACGGUCCAGACUCCUACGGGAGGCAGCAGUGGGGAAUUUUGCGCAAUGGGCGAAAGCCUGACGCAGCAACGCCGCGUGGAGGAUGAAGGCCUUCGGGUCGUAAACUCCUGUCAGUGGGGACGAAUGCUUCGCAAGAAGUUUGACUGUACCCGCUGAGGAAGCCACGGCUAACUCCGUGCCAGCAGCCGCGGUAAUACGGAGGUGGCAAGCGUUGUUCGGAAUUACUGGGCGUAAAGGGCGCGUAGGCGGCUUGGCAAGUCAGAUGUGAAAGCCCCGGGCUUAACUCGGGAAUUGCAUCUGAAACUGCUUUGCUUGAGUCCUGNAGGGGAUAGUGGAAUUCCCAGUGUAGCGGUGAAAUGCGUAGAUAUUGGGAGGAACACCUGUGGCGAANGCGGGCUAUCUGGACAGUGACUGACGCUGAGGCGCGAAAGCUAGGGGAGCGAACGGGGAUUAGAUACCCCNGGUAGUCCUAGCCGUAAACGAUGGGCACUUGGUGUGGGGGGGUAUUGAGUCCCUCGGUGCCGGAGNUAACACNUUAAGUGCCCCGCCUGGGGAUACGGUCNCAGACUGAAACUAAAGAAUUGACGGGG